Molecule: ribosomal RNA, 482 nt
Filed under: uncultured bacterium
Lineage: Bacteria
Description: bacterial SSU rRNA
Rfam family: Bacterial small subunit ribosomal RNA
Source: RNAcentral
AUUGAACGCUGGCGGCAUGCCUUACACAUGCAAGUCGAACGGCAGCGGGCCUUCGGGUGCCGGCGAGUGGCGAACGGGUGAGUAAUGCAUCGGAACGUGCCAUUGAGUGGGGGAUAACGUAGCGAAAGUUGCGCUAAUACCGCAUAUUCUGUGAGCAGGAAAGCAGGGGACCGCAAGGCCUUGCGCUCUUUGAGCGGCCGAUGUCAGAUUAGCUAGUUGGUGAGGUAAAGGCUUACCAAGGCGACGAUCUGUAGCGGGUCUGAGAGGAUGAUCCGCCACACUGGAACUGAGACACGGUCCAGACUCCUACGGGAGGCAGCAGUGGGGAAUUUGGACAAUGGGGGCAACCCUGAUCCAGCCAUGCCGCGUGAGUGAAGAAGGCCUUCGGGUUGUAAAGCUCUUUCGGCCGGGAAGAAUCGCAUGGGUGAAUACCCUGUGUGGAUGACGGUACCGGAACAAGAAGCACCGGCUAACUACGUGCC